GUGUAUAAUGGAGUUUAAAAUAAGAAGAGCUAAAUAAUUUUAAAAAGAAAGUAUGAUUAAUGUACACAGAGUACACAAAAAAACACAAGAAAAAUGAUUUUAAAAUGCUACAAAAUCUUCUGAAUAUUUUAAGACAGUAUAACUGGUUUGGGUUUUACGGGAGGAAGCUCUCAAGGCAAUGGAAAAUGCACCACACGUCUCACCACACAUAUCAGCGGCACGUUUUCAGUGAUAAAUAAAAAUAAAUACAUAAAUGUGGUACACAUUUGCCUAAUGUGCCUAAUAUUUGAAUAAUUGAGUCUCGUCCAUUAAAUAUUUGUGCUGUGAUCAUAAGGGGAUCUGUCUGUUUUUUUAACAACUGAAGAAGUCCAUAGUUGCAAAAACAUUUAAAAUCCCUGAUGUAAAUAAAUAACAUCUAUACAGUGUGGUCAUAAAUUUACAUACACCUUGCAGAAUCUGCAAAAUAUUUAUAAUUAAAAAAAAAUAUUACAAGUAUCAUUAAAAAUGUCCCAAAAAAAAAAAAAA
Long non-coding RNA from Pangasianodon hypophthalmus (striped catfish), 525 nucleotides. RefSeq lists it as uncharacterized. NCBI's taxonomy places the organism in Eukaryota, Metazoa, Chordata, Actinopteri, Siluriformes, Pangasiidae. The record is from RefSeq and is a predicted model, not a curated record. The transcript is spliced from 2 exons.